Symphalangus syndactylus (siamang) is the source of this 4142-nucleotide long non-coding RNA. RefSeq lists it as uncharacterized. Lineage: Eukaryota; Metazoa; Chordata; Mammalia; Primates; Hylobatidae. The record is from RefSeq and is a predicted model, not a curated record.
CCUGGCCGGGGCGGGCCAAUGGCAGUGGCGGGAACGUGUUAUAUGGAUGACCUCUGCCGCAGCUGCCGCUGGGCUCUGGAGGCAGAAGCCGCCCUGAGAAGUGCACAAUAGGCCGGGCGCGGUGGCUCACGCCUGUAAUCCCAGCACUUUGGGAGGCCGAGGCGGGUGGAUCACAAGGUCCGGAGAUCGAGACCAUCCUGGCUAACACGGUGAAACCCCGUCUCUCCUAAAACCGCAAGACUCCGUCUCCAAAAAAAAAAAGAAAAAGAGAAGCGCACCAUGGACCAAGAGCUCUUGCUGGAGAGGCGCCGCCGCCGAACCCGCAGCCAGACGCCCCUCAGUAGCGCCUGCAUCGGGUGCCGCGGCUCUCGCCCUGCACUAGGCGAUGCUGAAGCCACAGAAGAUACCGCAGUGGGAGAACCAGCAUGAGCUGCUGCCCCCAAGGAACCUCGAAGUGCAGGCAGAGGACCAGCCAUCCCAGCAGCACAGGUAAAGUGUGUCACCUGUCAGGUGGGCUUGGGGUGAGGGGGUGGGGGAAGUGUGUGUGCAAAGGGGGUGUGUGUAUGCGUGUGAGCACGUGUGAUGGCUAGUGUGCCUGCAUGUGAGGGACUGUGAACAAGUGUGCGAGGGUGUGUGUGCAAAUGUGUAUGCCUAUGAGAAUAUGUGUCUGUGGAUGAGUGCAUUUGAAAGCAUGUGUGUGGUCAUGAGGGUAAGUUAGUGACUGAAUACGCAGGAUAUGUGAGUGUGCAUGGAACACUGUGGCAAGUGUGUAGGCAUGUGAGGACAGGCAGAAGUGUGUCAGUGUUGUGAUGAGAGUGUGAAUGAGUGUGCAAAAAGGUGUGGAGUGAAUGUGCAUGGAAGUGUGUGUGUAAACUAUGAAGGCAUGUAGUGUGUCAGUGUGUGCAGUGCAAGCGUGUGUGGGAAUGAGUGCUUGUGGGUGUGCCCACAUCCAAUGGGUAUGUGUGAAAGCAUGUAAAAAUGUGUGUAGUGUGAUGGUGUGUGGAUGUAUCAGUGUGUAUAAAUGAGAGCAUGUAAAUGUGAGUGUUGAAUGAGUGUAUAAGUGAGUGUGCAUACGUGAGGCUGUGCGUGAGUGUAACCAUGAGGGUGUGAACGUGCUUAAGUGUAUGUGCAUGUGACAGUGCAAGUGUAGGAGUGUGAUGCAUGUGUGGGUGUGCCAGUGUAUGAGUGUACAUGGUGUGGAUCUGAAUGUGCAAAGGGUGUGAGUGUAUGUGAAUGAGUGGUAGUGUGCAUGCAUGGGUGAGUGCACACUCAGAAGCAUGGAUGGGUGCAAGCCUCCCCUACUAACUCCUGCUCCUUCCUGAGAUCAAAAAAGGAUGUGUUUUCUGUGUUUCAAAAAUGUUUUAAAAUUAUGUACUGUAUUUAAUAGCUCUUAUGACUACAGUGUUUUUCUCUCUGUUUAAAGCGUAGCAGGGGCUGGGCGCAGUGGCUCACACCUGUAAUCCCAGCAUUUUGGGAGGCCAAGGCAAGUGGAUCAGUUGAGAUCAGGAGUUCAAGACCAGCCUGGACAACAUGGUGAAACCCCAUCUCUACUAAAAAUACAAAAAUUAGCCAGGCAUGGUAGCGGGUGCCUGUAAUCCCAGCUACUGGGGAGGCUGAGGUGGGAGAAUCGCUUGAAGUCAGGAGGCUGAGGUUGCAGUGAGCCGAGAUUGCACCACUGCACUCCAGCCUGGGUGACAGAGCGAGACUCUAUGCAAAAAACCCCAAAAAAUCCAACGUAGCUAAAGGCAGUUUGAUGAUAACAGUGACGUUGAAAUGAGAAUUGUGUCAGAAAAACCACAAACAAUAAUGAAAUGGCUCCUAUAUAACCCAUCCCCAAAAACCCACGUAAAGAAGAAAACAGGGCUGGGCGUAGUGGUUCAUGCCUAUAAUUCCAGCACUUUGGGAGGCCCAGAAGGGAGGAUCGCUUGAGCCUAGGAAACCGAGGCCACAGCGAGCUGUAUUUGCGCUACUGUACUUCAGCCUGAGAGGCAGAGUGAAACCUUAUCCCAAAACCAAAAAGACGAAAAGGGUCCUGAGGUAUUAACUCUGAUCGUCAGUGAGUGGAAAGAUUCUGGUAUUCUGGUGUUUUCCAUUUUCUUUUAGCUUAUCUUCAUUUUUGAGUUUUCUGGAAGAGCAUUUAUUGCUUUUUUUCUUUUUGAGACGGAGUCUCCCUCUGUCGCCCGGGCUGGAGUGCAGUGGUAUGAUCUUGGCUCACUGCAACCUCCACUUCCUGGGUUCAAGCAUUUCCUGCCUCAGCCUCCCGAGUAGCUGGGACUACAGGUGCAUGCCACCACGCCCAGCUAAUUUUUUGUAUUUUUUUUUAGUAGAGACAGGGUUUCACCUUGUUAGCCACGAUGGUCUUGAUCUCCUGAUCCUGUGAUCCACCCGCCUCAGCCUCCCAAAGUGCUGGGAUUACAGGCGUGAGCCACUGCGCCCGGUCGCAUUUAUUGCUUUAAGAAAAAAAAAAAUUUGAUGGGAAAAAGCUAAAAUGAGGUUGACUAGGAAAAUAUUACUAAAAACAUUCUCCUUCAUUCACGGACUUUUUUUUUUUUUGAGACAGAAUCUCGUUCUGUCACAUAUGCUGGAGUGCAGUGGUACAAUCUCGGCUCACUGCAACCUUCGCCUCCGAGGUUCAAAUGAAUUCUUGUGCCUCAGCCUCCUGAAUAACUGGGAUUAGAGGCAUGCACCAGCAUGCCCGGCUAAUUUUUGUAUUAGGGUUUUGUCAUGUUGGCCAGGCUGGUCUCGAACCCCUGACCUCAAGUGAUCCACCCGCCUCAGCCUCCCAGAGUGCUAAGCCUCCCAGAGUGCUAAGCCUCCCAGAGUGCUAAGCCUCCCAAGUGUAAGCCACUGCGCCUGGCCCUUGUUUUGGCUAACUCUGUGAGUGAAACUCUUUCUGCCAUGGGAGAUCGUACCUUACCAUUGUUUAUUUCCAGGGUCUCCUGAGAACACAGACCAGAAUUACUGAGGUAAUCUUGGCACAUUUUCUUAACCAUUCUAUGCGACUUUCAAAUUCCUUAUAUGUAGCUGGGAAAAAAGGCUUUGCUAGAUGAUCUUUUUCAACCUUCGUGAAGAUCAAGAUUAAGAAAAAAGUUUAAACCCGAGGCACUGAUAAGGAAAAUACAGAAGAAAACCUAAACAAAGUUUCAGUUCUCAGCCCCUGAGCAGCCACACAGUGGGGGGCGUUUCCUUCACUCCCCAGUGAGUACCUACUGUGUGUUCCGUAUGGCGCAGGGCAGGGAGGAGCAGGCCAAGAAACAAACAAGCCUUGGGGUCGGGGCCACAGAGGGCAUAGUGAGCUCUCAGGAUAGGGCGGGAAGGGAAGGCAGAAAGGCCCUGGGCACAGGCUGGGCUGUCAGCUCCAGAGGGGCGCACUGACCCUGCAUCCAUGGGAAGUGUGGGGCACAGGCAGCCUGGGGCAAGCAGGUACCAGGAGAGCCCAGGCUGGCCAUUAUUUGUGGCUGCAUUUCCAUUUCCAAAAAUGUAUGAUUUUUUCAGUUAAUGGAGAAAAAGCACUGACAAAAUUCAACAUGCUUUCAUGAUUAAAAACACUCAGCAAACUAAGAAUAGAGAAAACUACCUCAACAUAAUAAGUCAUAUACGAAAAAGCCACAUCACACUCAAUGGUGAAAACUGAAAGCUUUUCCUCUAAAAUUAGGAACAAGACAAGGAUGCCUGCAUUCAUUACUUCUAUACAACACAGUGCUAGAAGUUCUAACCAGCACACUUAGGCAAGAAAAAGAAUUAAAGGCAUCAAAGUUGAAAAGAAAGAAGUAAAAUUAUCUCUAUUUGCAGAUAGGAUCUUAUAAGUAGAAAUGCCUAAAGAGCACGCACGCACACACACAAGUUAGAACUAAUAAAUGAGGCCAGACAUGGUGGCUUAUGCCUAUAAUCCCAGCACUUUGGGAGGCAGAGGUGUGCAGAUCACUUGAGGUCAGGCGUUCGAGACCAGCCUCACCAACAUGGCAAAACCCCAUCUCUACAAAAAAAAUACAAAAAUUAGCCAGGCAUGGUGGUGGGCGCCUGUGGUCCCAGCUACUUGGGAGGCUGAGGCACAAGAAUCUCUUGAACCCUGGAGGCAGAGGUUGCAGUGAGCCAAGAUUGUGCUACUGCACUCCAGCCUGGGCGACAGAGCAAGAGAGUGA